GUAAGGUAGUGGCUUACCAAGGUUGUAACGGGUAACGGGGGAUCAGGGUUCGAUUCCGGAGAGGGAGCCUGAGAAACGGCUACCACAUCCAAGGAAGGCAGCAGGCGCGCAAAUUACCCAAUCCAGACAGUGGGAGGUGGCGACGAGAAUUACUGAGUGGUAGCCUUAAUGGUUAUCGACUUAGAAUGAACGUGAUUUAAGAAAUCCGUUGAGUAACAACUGGAGGGCAAGUCUGGUGCCAGCAGCCGCGGUAAUUCCAGCUCCAGUAGCGUACCUCAAAGUUGCUGCGUUUAAAACGCUCGUAGUUGGAUCACAUGGUUAGGCCUAGUGAAUUAGCGUGUUAGUACGCUAAAUCCUCAAGUGUAGAUGUGACGGUGUGUUAUCGCCGUUGCAGUUUAUAUGUUGUGGAGUACUGCACGUUGAUUGUUAGCUAGGCUUAACUGAUUGCGUAUGGGGAUAGCAGUUGACCUUAAGUGAGUCGAUUGUUGUGUCCCAUAGAGUGUGCCUUGAAUAAAACAGAGUGCUCAAAGCAGGCUUGAUGCCUGAAUGUUAACAGCAUGGAACGAACAAUUGUGGCAACAUGAUGCUGUUGCAACUGGCAAUGUACUUAUUUGUAUGUUGUCAUGUUGUGGCAGUAUCAUAGCACCAACCACUAAUAACGGAUGUUGGUUCCGUAUUAGGGUGAUGAUUAAGAGGAGCGGUUGGGGGCAUUGGUAUUUUGCCGCGAGAGGUGAAAUUCUUGGACCGGCAAAGGACUAACAAAUGCGAAGGCAUUUGCCUAGACCGUAUCCAUUAAUCAAGAACGAUAGUGGGAGGUUCGAAGACGAUCAGAUACCGUCCUAGUUCCCACCGUAAACUAUGCCGACUCGGGAUCAGUUUGGUGCUAUUACCAACGCUCGAAG
Molecule: ribosomal RNA, 902 nt
Filed under: Raabeia sp. BWX-2010
Lineage: Eukaryota; Metazoa; Cnidaria; Myxozoa
Description: bacterial SSU rRNA
Rfam family: Eukaryotic small subunit ribosomal RNA
Source: RNAcentral